This 484-nucleotide ribosomal RNA is filed under the name uncultured bacterium. RNAcentral's name for it is "partial 16S ribosomal RNA". It matches the Rfam family "Bacterial small subunit ribosomal RNA", at positions 29 to 507 of the family's 1533-position model. The record is from RNAcentral.
AUUGAACGCUGGCGGCAUGCUUUACACAUGCAAGUCGAGCGGCAGCGCGGCCUUCGGGCUGGCGGCGAGCGGCGAACGGGUGAGUAAUGCAUCGGAACAUGCCCAGUCGUGGGGGAUAACACUUCGAAAGAAGUGCUAAUACCGCAUACGUCCUGAGGGGGAAAGCGGGGGAUCGCAAGACCUCGCGCGAUUGGAGUGGCCGAUGUCAGAUUAGCUAGUUGGUGGGGUAAAGGCCUACCAAGGCGACGAUCUGUAGCUGGUCUGAGAGGAUGAUCAGCCGCACUGGGACUGAGACACGGCCCAGACUCCUACGGGAGGCAGCAGUGGGGAAUUUUGGACAAUGGGGGCAACCCUGAUCCAGCCAUUCCGCGUGAGUGAAGAAGGCCUUCGGGUUGUAAAGCUCUUUCGGCAGGAACGAAACGGUGGGCUCUAACAUAGUCCGCUAAUGACGGUACCUGAAGAAGAAGCACCGGCUAACUACGUG